AAGUCGUAACAAGGUAACCGUAGGGAACCUGCGGUUGGAUCACCUCCUUACCUUAAAGAA
RNAcentral lists this ribosomal RNA (60 nucleotides) under Klebsiella pneumoniae. RNAcentral's name for it is "partial 16S ribosomal RNA". Lineage: Bacteria; Pseudomonadati; Pseudomonadota; Gammaproteobacteria; Enterobacterales; Enterobacteriaceae. The record is from RNAcentral.